AAGGCCUGAUGUGUGUGAGAUUACCCGCUGAAUUUAAGCAUAUAAGUAAGCGGAGGAAAAGAAACUAACUAGGAUUCCCUUAGUAAUGGCGAAUGAACAGGGAUCAGCUCAGUGCCAAAUCGGAAUCACUUGUGGUUCUGAAAUGUGGCUUGAAGGCAGUACCAGUGGCAUCGCGGACGAAAGUCUCUUGGAAAAGAGCGUCAUAGAGGGUGAGAAUCCCGUGAGUCGUUCGCCGUUUGUCACGUACGGUCUGCGUUCUAACGAGUCGCGUUCCUUGGGAUUGGAGCGUAAACGGGUGGUAAAUUUCAUCCAAAGCAAAAUAUAUACUCGAGACCGAUAGCACAAAAGUACCGUGAGGGAAAGGUGAAAAGAACUUUGAGAAGAGGGUUAAAUAGUGCCUGAAAUCGUUGAGAAGGAAGCGGAUGCCGCCGUUGCAUAUGCUGAUUGUAGGAUUGCUGCUCGCUCCUGUCUUCUGCUACUCAUUCACAGACCUGGUCGUGUUGAGCAGUUGUUUGGCAGAUGUUAGUGGUGUUUCCUACUUUCAGUCGUCAGCAUCACUGGCUGAGUGGAAAUAAUCCUUGGAUGCUAAUUGGUUCGCUAUCUGUGAAUUGGUUGCUUCCUUGCGAUACUCACUACUCGGUCAGUGAGGAAGUGCGUUUGCUGGUCAACGAGCUUUCUAACUGUCAUUACCCUGCGCUUUUCGAUUCGUCGAGUGGCCAGGAUGUGGCUUUGAGAUUGUUCGCACUUAGUAAUCGCGAUGCUGGCUUCCAACGGUUGCCUCCGGCCCGUCUUGAAACACGGACCAAGGAGUCUAACGUAUGUGCGAGUGUGUGAGUGGCAAACUUAUACGCGUAAUGAAA
RNAcentral lists this non-coding RNA (860 nucleotides) under Perkinsus marinus ATCC 50983. RNAcentral's name for it is "Eukaryotic large subunit ribosomal RNA". It matches the Rfam family "Eukaryotic large subunit ribosomal RNA", at positions 1 to 724 of the family's 3401-position model. Lineage: Eukaryota; Perkinsozoa; Perkinsida; Perkinsidae. The record is from Rfam by way of RNAcentral.